CAGAACAAUGAAUGCCAACCGUUAGAAAAUAAUUUGCGAUCGUUACUAAGGUCAAUGAAGGCUGAAGUUAGUUUGUAAGUUAGUUGGUCAGUCAGUCAGUCAGUCAGUCGUACACCGGCGUUCGAAAAUAAGCAAAUUUGUGAUACUUUGACCGUGCAUAGAGUAUUCUAUACCCUCGUGAGUUUGUAAAUUCUAAGCCAGUUGUACAUUAAAAACUACAAAAUGACUACAGAAGGAAAGAAGAGGGUAUGCAUUGUAGGAAGCGGCAAUUGGGGUUCAGCCAUUGCAAAAAUUGUAGGUGCCAAUGCAGUCAAAUAUAACAACAUAUUUGAAACACGCGUGACAAUGUAUGUUUACGAAGAAAUAGUGAACAGUCAAAAGUUGACUGACAUCAUAAAUCAGUUGCAUGAAAACGUGAAAUAUCUUCCUGGGCACAAAUUGCCAGAAAAUAUUGUUGCCGUCCCAGACGUCGUUGAAGCUGCCAAAGACGCGGAUAUUCUUAUUUUUGUAAUACCUCAUCAGUUUAUACGAACACUAUGUGCAACAUUGCUCGGUAAAAUUAAACCAACCGCGGUUGGUGUAUCGUUAAUUAAGGGUUUUGAUCGAGGUGAUGGAACGAAUAUCGAAUUAAUUUCUAAAAUCAUUGAAAAAAAUUUAAGAAUCCAAUGUUACGUUUUAAUGGGAGCAAAUCUAGCUAACGAAGUUGCCGAGGAGAAGUUCUGUGAAACAACUAUUGGUUGUAGAGAUAAACGCUUGGCCCCAGUGUUAAGGGACCUUAUUCAAACUCCUAAUUUCAGAGUUGUAGUUGUUGAAGACUGUGAAGCUGUUGAAGUAUGUGGUGCCUUAAAGAAUAUCGUGGCAUGUGCCGCUGGUUUCGUAGAUGGUAUGGGACUAGGUGAUAAUACAAAAGCAGCUGUUAUCAGAUUGGGAUUAAUGGAAAUGGUCAAGUUCGUAGACACAUUUUACAGUGGCUCGAAACUUUCAACGUUCUUCGAAAGUUGCGGUGUAGCAGAUUUGAUAACUACUUGCUACGGUGGAAGAAAUCGCAGAGUUUGCGAGCAAUAUGUUAAAACUGGAAAAACUAUUAGGCAGCUCGAAGAAGAACUUUUAGGUGGUCAAAAAUUGCAAGGACCAGCCACAGCUGAUGAAGUUCACGGAAUGCUAAAAGCUAAGAAUUUGCUAGAAAAAUUCCCGUUAUUUACUGCUGUACACCGCAUCUGUACUGAACAAAUAAGACCAGCAGAUUUACUUGACCAAAUUCGUAACCAUCCUGAACAUGUGUUUGCACCAAAAACAUUGUAUAUGUACUAAGUAUUGUCCUCAUCUUCCCUUUUUAUCAUUUUUUGUGUUGAGAAACUGUAAAAAUUGUUUUUUAACAAGUACAAAACCCACUUAUAUCGGGUGAGAUAGAUAUCGGCCGUAUAUACGGAUGAGAUGCUGUAUCAUAUAGAAAUGUACAAACAUAGGUGAGAACUGAUUAACACAUUCCAUCAAUAUAAAAGGAUAACAUUCCAAAUAAGAUGAAGGUCGAUGGUGGUAACUGAAUGCUAUAAGUUACGGAAUGUAAACAUCUUGACAGCUCCAAAAAAACACAUAGAAAUCAUUAAAAGGAAAAAUCAAUUAUUAGAAAAAUGUAAUAUUACAGAUAUUUUGCAAUAAUUAGUUAUAAUUGGCUACUGUUUUUCUCCUGAUGAUUAAUAUACAAUUGUUCUAUAAAAUA
This is an RNA transcript of Bombus huntii, 1720 nucleotides long. It is a transcript of the gene named glycerol-3-phosphate dehydrogenase [NAD(+)], cytoplasmic-like, with no coding region annotated. The transcript is spliced from 9 exons. The record is from RefSeq and is a predicted model, not a curated record. NCBI's taxonomy places the organism in Eukaryota, Metazoa, Arthropoda, Insecta, Hymenoptera, Apidae.